Molecule: non-coding RNA, 71 nt
Organism: Dipodomys ordii (Ord's kangaroo rat)
Lineage: Eukaryota; Metazoa; Chordata; Mammalia; Rodentia; Heteromyidae
Source: Rfam
UGGAAGGUGGCUCAGUGGUAGAGUGCUUGCCUUGCAUGCAUGAGGCCCUGGGUUCAAUUCCUCAUUACCAC